RNAcentral lists this microRNA precursor (62 nucleotides) under Ciona intestinalis (vase tunicate). RNAcentral describes it as "microRNA cin-mir-5602 precursor". The record is from miRBase by way of RNAcentral. Lineage: Eukaryota; Metazoa; Chordata; Ascidiacea; Phlebobranchia; Cionidae.
UUUGGUAUCGCACAAUGGGUAAAACUUCCAACCAACUUCAUAACCGCGUGACGAUAUCAAAC